AUUGAACGCUGGCGGCAGGCCUAACACAUGCAAGUCGAGCGGACGAAGGGAGCUUGCGCCUGGAUUCAGCGGCGGACGGGUGAGUAAUGCCUAGGAAUCUGCCUGGUAGUGGGGGAUAACGUCCGGAAACGGGCGCUAAUACCGCAUACGUCCUGAGGGAGAAAGUGGGGGAUCUUCGGACCUCACGCUAUCAGAUGAGCCUAGGUCGGAUUAGCUAGUUGGUGGGGUAAAGGCCUACCAAGGCGACGAUCCGUAACUGGUCUGAGAGGAUGAUCAGUCACACUGGAACUGAGACACGGUCCAGACUCCUACGGGAGGCAGCAGUGGGGAAUAUUGGACAAUGGGCGAAAGCCUGAUCCAGCAAUGCCGCGUGUGUGAAGAAGGUCUUCGGAUUGUAAAGCACUUUAAGUUGGGAGGAAGAGCAGUAAGUUAAUACCUUGCUGUUUUGACGUUACCAACAGAAUAAGCACCGGCUAACUUCGUG
Molecule: ribosomal RNA, 484 nt
Filed under: uncultured bacterium
Lineage: Bacteria
Description: partial 16S ribosomal RNA
Rfam family: Bacterial small subunit ribosomal RNA
Source: RNAcentral